Molecule: long non-coding RNA, 1864 nt
Organism: Nicotiana attenuata
Lineage: Eukaryota; Viridiplantae; Streptophyta; Magnoliopsida; Solanales; Solanaceae
Exons: 7
Source: RefSeq, a predicted model, not a curated record
UAGUACUGACAACACCUUUCAAGGGUUUCAAAGAGAGAGAACUCUAAGUGGAACUUAUCAGAAAUCUUCACUCAUCGGAUCUCUCCAAUUUUCCAUUUGUAUGUGGAUUUUAAGUUUUGUGUAGUACUUCUCUGCUCCGUGAAAAUUUUCAUCUAGGACAAAAAUAGUGACAAAGAGGGAAGAACUUCGAUGCCACCUAUGUAUUUGACGAAAUUCCGCAGUGGAAGAUCGUCAUGGUCAGCGAAUUUGGAUGAACUCCGUAAUGCAAAUUUUGACAUAAGCUGUUCACGAGAGUUGCAGUUUAUGACAUAACGAUUUCGUCCUUAAAAAGUUCUUGCUCUUGCAUGGAUGGGAUUCCUCUCUAAAGUGGUGAAUUUUAAAAAGCUUGAGGUUCACUGACUGGUGCAAUUAAGGUUUCACCUUUUUGGAACUGAACGGUUUGCUUUUAAUUGGUACUCAUCGCCAAUUGCUGAAGGUUACUGAGUAAUUAACUAAUUAGUUAGAGUCUAUGUUCAGUUACUUUGUAUUUUGUUCUUGAAAUUGAUAGACAAAUUCCAAGUUUCUUCCUUUAUAUUUAAUAAUUUGCACUUCAACUGUAUUAUUUCAAUUUGUAAUUCUUCGCGCACCUUUGUUCCAUGCCUUAAGUCUUAUGACAAUUUGCCCUCUCGAUAGAGGUUGUGAUUAAACUAUCAAAAUCGAAUGCGUCGAAGGAUCCUUUUCUUCUUCUAACUCUAGCUGAUCCAUUGAAAUAACUCAAACUCUUUAAGCUCAUUUAUAUGUUGUAAAUAUUUUUCUUUGCAGUAAAAAGAUUAUGUAAUUGUUAGUUAUUUCAACUAUUACUUGCAAUUAGUUGCUUAAAUAAAAAAGUUAAGAUACAAUUUGACAUCCUAAAGUGAUUGUGAAGCUUCUAAUUGCUUCCUUUGUUUUAUUAAUGCUCAUACACAGAGAUUAACUCGGCAACCAUGUUAUUUCCAUAAUUUCUUGUUGUAGAUAAAGUCGGAAUAAACAUCAACUCGCUCCUCUCUUGAAAGCAUCUGAAGCUGGAAUUGUAGUCUUCAUUCUAUUGUUGGUCUGGUUCACGUGUCGCCAGCUGGUUCUAUUUAUACAACGGAGAAAGGUGAUAACAGAAUGAGGUUGGAUUAUUUGGAUAUAUCAACCUAGAAAAGGAAGAAACAGAAAAGAAAAACAUUGACAGUGUGGAGUUGAACAUGUGGGAAUAUGUAAACAGACAAAUUCAGUGAGCUCUUACGCGCAAGAAGUAUGGAAAGAGUACCAAGGCCAGAAGAAACCUUGCGGACUGUGCUAUUGUGGUUGAAGAGCUAUGGACUUGGAUUUCACAGCUCUCGUAAGGAGUUUUGUGUCAUUCUUCAAGGUGGAGAAACCAUAAACUGCUCUCUCACAGUGGGCUAGAGCGCGCAGGAGUCGCCAAGGUUUUAAAGGGACUCUCAAAGGAUGAGAUACCUCAAAAACUUGCUCUAUUGCAUUGGCUAUAAGCUGUUGGAUGUUGGUGAUGGAAAGAAAUCCAUCUUGAAGUGCAACAGUAUGCCAAUGUAUUGGACGACUGCUGAGGAUAAGUUGUUUGAUGUAGUUCUCAUAUGUGAUAUGCCAGUGACAAUUUGUAUCAAGUGCACGUGAUGGCGUUUUAACUUGGAAAUAUGACUUAUGAGGUAGUUCUUGAGCAAGGAACACUCAAAUAAGAAAUACUAUAUCAAAUAUAGGAGAACUGUCAUAACAACUAGUCCAUCUUAUUAGUUGAAAUCCACCUCUUUUACUAUUGUGACUGAUUAUAAUGGAAGAAAACUGUCAUUUGUGUAUUGUCGUUGCGCACCCGUGGAUGUAAAAAGUGUAUCAUUUGGUGAUCAUA